AAAGGAUUAGAUCCAUGUCAACUUGGCCUUCUUUGUCUUUUUCUUUUUUACUUGUGGUAGGUGGGUGAGGUAGGUCUUGUUUUACCUUGUUUAUCAUUAAGAUUUGCUUUUGUGGACAAUGAAGAGCUAUGUGCCCAAAACCUAAACAUUUAAAACAUUUGAUAUUUGAAGGUUGGGUAGGUGACUUAGGAUUAGAAGGAUUUGUAGUAGAAACUUUCUUUGGAAAC
Molecule: long non-coding RNA, 227 nt
Filed under: Phaseolus vulgaris (common bean)
Lineage: Eukaryota; Viridiplantae; Streptophyta; Magnoliopsida; Fabales; Fabaceae
Description: long non-coding RNA (PVUL_LNC004980)
Source: RNAcentral